UGAAAAUAUCCUUCGAAUCAUAUGAAGGAAAAAACCAACAAAACUGACACUUUGGGAGGGUUUUAUUGAUCAUGAGGGAGUUAAACUUUUCAACCAAUUUCAUGAUUACCCUAUCAUUCUUGCUAGGAGAAUUGGGAAAUCAUCCUCAGGAACGUCGAAUAGAUUCGUUGGUUUGACGAGCAGAUUCAAUACAACAAUUGAAAUCAAUCCUCCAUAUCCACAAGCUGCCGAAUUAAGGACGUGGAUCAAAAUAAUUGAAACAAAGCUUGUUGCUUAUAAGAUGAAAAGUACAACUCCAAUAGGCUCUAUUAUGUUGAUUCCAUUUAAGGAUGAGGUUAUA
Long non-coding RNA from Solanum tuberosum (potato), 340 nucleotides. RefSeq lists it as uncharacterized. The record is from RefSeq and is a predicted model, not a curated record. NCBI's taxonomy places the organism in Eukaryota, Viridiplantae, Streptophyta, Magnoliopsida, Solanales, Solanaceae. The transcript is spliced from 3 exons.